UAGUCCACGCUGUAAACGCUGUCAACUAGCUGUUGGGCUGUAAAAGGCGCAGUAGCGAAGCUAACGUAUUAAGUUGACCGCCUGGGGAGUACGGCCGCAAGGCUAAAACUCAAAGGAAUUGACGGGGAUCCGCACAAGCGGUGGAGCAUGUGGUUUAAUUCGAUGCAACGCGAAAAACCUUACCUACUCUUGACAUCCUAGGAAGCUUUCAGAGAUGGAGGCGUGCCUUUUGGAACCUAGAGACAGGUGCUGCAUGGCUGUCGUCAGCUCGUGUUGUGAGAUGUUGGGUUAAGUCCCGUAACGAGCGCAACCCUUGUCCUUAGUUGCCAGCGAGUAAAGUCGGGAACUCUAAGGAGACUGCCGGUGAGAAACCGGAGGAAGGUGGGGACGACGUCAAGUCAUCAUGGCCCUUAUGAGUAGGGCUACACACGUGCUACAAUGGGCAGUACAGAGGGAAGCGAAGCGGUGACGUGGAGCGAAUCCUAUAAAGCUGUUCUUAGUCCGGAUUGGAGU
RNAcentral lists this ribosomal RNA (513 nucleotides) under uncultured bacterium. RNAcentral describes it as "bacterial SSU rRNA". It matches the Rfam family "Bacterial small subunit ribosomal RNA", at positions 791 to 1304 of the family's 1533-position model. The record is from RNAcentral.